Gossypium raimondii (Peruvian cotton) is the source of this 619-nucleotide long non-coding RNA. RefSeq lists it as uncharacterized. Lineage: Eukaryota; Viridiplantae; Streptophyta; Magnoliopsida; Malvales; Malvaceae. The record is from RefSeq and is a predicted model, not a curated record. The transcript has 3 exons.
UCAUCUCUAUUUUAAUGAAAUUAGCUGGUGGCUGCCCAUCAAUGGCUGAUCAGCUAAAUAUGGAUGCAUUUUUACAGCAAGCUCGCUCUUAUGAUAAAGCUUCUUCGAGCCCAGUUGGGUACUAUAUAAGAAAUGCUCAAACGCGGCAACUUUCACAUCCUCUGCCUGUUCUACAUGCACGUGAGUUUGAUGAGUGGUCAAGAAGUAAUGAAUACAGAAGCCUUCUUAAAUGUGCAACUCAGAUGAACGUUGUAGAAAAAGUUUAGCUCUGGUCUGGACCUUGAGAAAGUCAAAGUUGAAAAUAGCUUUAAUAGAUUUUGACUUUGCCUUGCAAGAUUUGGUUCCCUUUAUGUUUAUAGAAGAUACUUUGCCAGACAGAAAGAACACAGUAAAUGGAGGAAGCUUUUGCCCAAAGCAUCUCUAGCUGUGGUAAAACAUUUGUCUGUAAAGAACCACAAUUAGUUAGAGUCUAAAUUUAUGGUAAGAGAAUUAUAUAUAGUUCAUCUUUGUAACUAUGAUAGAGAUUGUUUUAACAUAUGCUUCAUACUGAAAAGAACAGAAAACUGUAUAUCGUCGUCCAAAAGGAUAAAGCAAAUAUAGCAUUUUUUUUUCUUUUAAA